RNAcentral lists this ribosomal RNA (811 nucleotides) under Clostridium lundense. RNAcentral describes it as "bacterial SSU rRNA". It matches the Rfam family "Bacterial small subunit ribosomal RNA", at positions 37 to 858 of the family's 1533-position model. Lineage: Bacteria; Bacillati; Bacillota; Clostridia; Eubacteriales; Clostridiaceae. The record is from RNAcentral.
UGGCGGCGUGCUUAACACAUGCAAGUCGAGCGAUGAAGCUUCCUUCGGGAAGUGGAUUAGCGGCGGACGGGUGAGUAACACGUGGGUAACCUGCCUCAAAGUGGGGGAUAGCAUUCUGAAAGGAAGAUUAAUACCGCAUAAUAUGAGAGAAUUGCAUGAUUUUUUUAUCAAAGAUUUAUUGCUUUGAGAUGGACCCGCGGCGCAUUAGAUAGUUGGUAAGGUAACGGCUCACCAGGGCAAGGUUGGGUAGCCGACCUGAGAGACUGAUCCGCCACUCUGGAAGUGAGACACGGUCCAGAAUCUUACGCGAGGCAGCAGUGUGGAAUAUUGCGCAAUGGGGGAAACCAUGACGCUGCAACGCUGCGUGGGUGAUGAAGGUCUUCAGGUACUAAAGCCCUGUUUUAUGGGACGACAAUGACGGUACCAGAGGAGGAAGCCACGGCUAACUACGUGCCAGCAGCCGCGGUAAUACGUAGGUGGCGAGCGUUGUCCGGAUUUACUGGGCGUAAAGCGUGCGCAGGCGGACGUUUAAGUGGGAUGUGAAAUCCCCGGGCUCAACCUGGGGGCUGCAUUCCAAACUGGAUAUCUAGAGUGCAGGAGAGGAAAGCGGAAUUCCUAGUGUAGCGGUGAAAUGCGUAGAGAUUAGGAAGAACACCAGUGGCGAAGGCGGCUUUCUGGACUGUAACUGACGCUGAGGCACGAAAGCGUGGGUAGCAAACAGGAUUAGAUACCCUGGUAGUCCACGCCGUAAACGAUGGAAUAGCUAGAGUGUAGGGGGUAUCAACUCCCCCCCUGUGCCGCCAGUUAACAC